UAAAACAGUAAAAACAACCACACAAAAGAAAACAGAGAGAACCACCAGACAGGCUGAGAGGACGCAGUACCAUAAAGCAGCCAACACUGAUGAUCAGUGGGGCAUCAAUUUGUCUAUCAGGUUGUAGCCCCUGCCACUAAUUGGUGCGAAGAGCUCCCUGGUCGCUGUGUGGUUUAGAGCCUUCAGCUCUCCCCUGCAAGGGCUGAAGCAGGACAGCUAAUUGCUGUUGCUUCGGUGCCAGUGAAUCAACGUGCUGAGCUAAUAGCAACAGAUAGAGGGCAGACAGAUCCCUGCUAGCAGCUUAGAGUUAGUUGCUUGUGAUAACUAAGGCAGUUGGCAUAUAUCUCAGAACCCGGAGAAGGAUGGUAUGCCUUCUGGAUUAAUACGUUGAGGUUUUUUUUUGUUUGUUUUUUUAAAUCUCUAGUUACGUUUUUCUUGAUGAUGUGAAACUGGAUAACAAUGCCUCCCAGAAACAAGAAGUGUGACGUGAGAACAAACCGUCUUAGACCUAGAUUAUGAACACUGGUUGUUUUGAAAGGAAUGUGCAGGAGACAGCCUUUGCAAGAAAACUUGCUGCAUAACCUUACAUGGGCUAAAGAUGAAACUUUAAACUGGCAAAUAGAAUGAUCAUAGUCUCAUCCAACAGUAUAUAAAUGAACUAUGCUUCUUCAUCCAGAUAACUUAAGCUGGGAAUAGUCAAUUUAAACAACCAGUUUGACAAGUCAUCUUGAGGUAAAAUCUCAGUUGAUAAAAUAAUUUCAUUGUGUUGAUAUCCUGUAGACUGAAAUUCAAAUAAGACCUCAAAAUAUAAAGUUCUUAAUCUUGUUAAGAUAAAAG
This 837-nucleotide long non-coding RNA is filed under the name Capra hircus (goat). RNAcentral describes it as "lncRNA (ENSCHIG00010026190.1)". The record is from RNAcentral. Lineage: Eukaryota; Metazoa; Chordata; Mammalia; Artiodactyla; Bovidae.